GUGCUCACUUCGGCAGCACAUAUACUAAAAUUGGGAUGAUAGAGAGACGAUUAGCAUGGCCCCUGUGCAAGGAUGACACGCAAAUUUGUGAAGCGUUCCAUAAAAAA
RNAcentral lists this small nuclear RNA (107 nucleotides) under Echinops telfairi (small Madagascar hedgehog). The record is from RNAcentral. Lineage: Eukaryota; Metazoa; Chordata; Mammalia; Afrosoricida; Tenrecidae.